Molecule: ribosomal RNA, 553 nt
Filed under: uncultured Nitrososphaerota archaeon
Lineage: Archaea; Thermoproteati; Nitrososphaerota
Description: bacterial SSU rRNA
Rfam family: Archaeal small subunit ribosomal RNA
Source: RNAcentral
ACGGGGUGCAGCAGGCGCGAAAACUUUGCAAUGUGCGAAAGCACGACAAGGUUAAUCCGAGUGAUUUCUGCUAAAGAAAUCUUUUGCUAGUCCUAGAAACACUAGUGAAUAAGGGGUGGGCAAGUUCUGGUGUCAGCCGCCGCGGUAAAACCAGCACCUCAAGUGGUCAGGAUGAUUAUUGGGCCUAAAGCAUCCGUAGCUCGUUUUGUAAGUUUUCGGUUAAAUCCAUACGCUUAACGUAUGGGCUGCCGGGAAUACUGCAUAACUAGGAAGUGGGAGAGGUAGACGGUACUCGGUAGGAAGGGGUAAAAUCCUUUGAUCUAUUGAUGACCACCUGUGGCGAAGGCGGUCUACCAGAACACGUUCGACGGUGAGGGAUGAAAGCUGGGGGAGCAAACCGGAUUAGAUACCCGGGUAGUCCCAGCUGUAAACUAUGCAAACUCAGUGAUGCAUUGGCUUGUGGCCAAUGCAGUGCUGCAGGGAAGCCGUUAAGUUUGCCGCCUGGGAAGUACGUACGCAAGUAUGAAACUUAAAGGAAUUGGCGGGGGAGCAC